UACGUAGGGGGCAAGCGUUGUCCGGAAUCAUUGGGCGUAAAGAGCGUGUAGGCGGCCAGAUAAGUCCGCUGUGAAAUCUCGAGGCUCAACUUCGAGCUGUCGGUGGAAACUGUCUGGCUAGAGUCCGGAAGAGGAGAAUGGAAUUCCCAGUGUAGUGGUGAAAUACGUAGAGAUUGGGAAGAACACCAGUGGCGAAGGCGGCUAUCUGGACGGUUUCUGACGCUAAGACGCGAAAGCGUGGGGAGCAAACAGG
Molecule: ribosomal RNA, 253 nt
Filed under: uncultured bacterium
Lineage: Bacteria
Description: partial 16S ribosomal RNA
Rfam family: Bacterial small subunit ribosomal RNA
Source: RNAcentral